GUAGGUGGCAAGCGUUGUCCGGGAAUUAUUGGGGCGGUAAAGCGCGCGCAGGCGGUUCUUUAAGUCUGAUGUGAAAGACCCACGGGCUCAACCGUGGAGGGUCAUUGGAAACUGGAGAACUUGAGUACAGAAGAGGAAAGCGGAAUUCCACGUGUAGCGGUGAAAUGCGUAGAGAUGUGGAGGAACACCAGUGGCGAAGGCGGCUUUCUGGUCUGUAACUGACGCUGAGGCGCGAAAGCGUGGGGAGCAAACAGGAUUAGAUACCCUGGUAGUCCACGCCGUAAACGAUGAGUGCUAAGUGUUAGGGGGUUUCCGCCCCUUAGUGCUGCAGCUAACGCAUUAAGCACUCCGCCUGGGGAGUACGGCCGCAAAGGCUG
This 377-nucleotide ribosomal RNA is filed under the name uncultured organism. Its description in RNAcentral is "partial 16S ribosomal RNA". It matches the Rfam family "Bacterial small subunit ribosomal RNA", at positions 527 to 896 of the family's 1533-position model. The record is from RNAcentral.